Long non-coding RNA from Cydia pomonella (codling moth), 1172 nucleotides. RefSeq lists it as uncharacterized. The record is from RefSeq and is a predicted model, not a curated record. Lineage: Eukaryota; Metazoa; Arthropoda; Insecta; Lepidoptera; Tortricidae. The transcript is spliced from 2 exons.
GAGCAUACUAAUCAAGGCCUGUCGACUUCCUUAGAAAGACAUGACGCUUCAUAAUUGCGCAUGUGUGGUCUGACCUUCUGGAAAUAGAUACCAGUUAUUAAUAUAAAAAUAUUUUGUUACAGCAACAUUGCUCCUAUCUAACUUUGUCUAUUCAACUUUGGGAACAAAUAAAAUCAUUUUUAUCAAAUAUUUUGAUUUAUGUCACACUACCAUAUGUAAAUUAUUAUUAUUUUAUAUAAAUUAUUACCUAUUUCAGUUUGUCUUAGUCUAUGUUCAUAAAAUCUAUGGAGGUCAGAGGCACAUAUACCCUCCAUAAAGCCUUGCACUUGGGUCUGGCCGGUUAGAACAUAGACAAAAGUCUGCAAUGUCAAUGCUGUCAAAGUCAUUGACGCAAAACUAUUUUUAUUUUCAAAACUAUCAGUUUUCAUAUAAAAUGAUUAAAUAAUGAUUUAUGUUGUUGAAAUAGAUUUAUUGAUUAAUUUUUAAAAUUAAAAAUCCACCGCACAGUAUCUCCGCUCAGACUCGGUUAAAAUUUAAUCCAUUGUACUAAACUAAGAAACAACAAUUAUUUCAAGAGGGUGAACGUGAGCAAAAAAUCCUUGGGCGUCAUAUCAUUUCCUUGGAAAGGCUCAAAAUCAAAAGGCACGGAUCCGCCACAUAAUUGUGACUAGUUGUAGUUUCCCGGUGACCAUCAACAAGACCGCUGCACUGAGCUGUGGAGCAGAAAGUGUCCGACAAUCGGAUAGAUGUAAUAACAACUUUGUCUGUCAUAUAUUCAUGUAAUUUUUAGUUUUUUGGGCUGAUAUAUGUGAUAUGAUUACAAGUUACACUAAUUGCAAUUGUGGAGUAAAAUCAGAUGUGCCAAAGAUCAUGUUUUAGAUAUAUAAAAAGCUAUAUUAAAUGCAAAAAAUUUUGACGACCAGUCUGGCCUAGUGGGUAGUGACCCUGCCUAUGAAGCUGAUGGUCCCGGGUUCAAAUCCUGGUAAGGGCAUUUAUUCGUGUGAUGAGCAUGGAUAUUUGUUCCUGAGUCAUGGGUGUUUUCUAUGUAUUUAAGUAUUUAUAAAUAUUUACAUAUUAUAUCUAUCGUUGUCUAAGUACCCUCAACACAAGCCUUAUUGAGCUUACUGUGGGACUUAGUCAAUUUGUGUAAUAAUGUCCUAUAAUAUUUAUUU